RNAcentral lists this ribosomal RNA (468 nucleotides) under uncultured bacterium. RNAcentral's name for it is "partial 16S ribosomal RNA". It matches the Rfam family "Bacterial small subunit ribosomal RNA", at positions 28 to 507 of the family's 1533-position model. The record is from RNAcentral.
GACGAACGCUGGCGGCGUGCUUAACACAUGCAAGUCGAACGGAAAGGCCCUGCUUUUGUGGGGUGCUCGAGUGGCGAACGGGUGAGUAACACGUGAGUAACCUGCCCUUGACUUUGGGAUAACUUCGGGAAACUGGGGCUAAUACCGGAUAGGAGCUCCUGCUGCAUGGUGGGGGUUGGAAAGUUUCGGCGGUUGGGGAUGGACUCGCGGCUUAUCAGCUUGUUGGUGGGGUAGUGGCUUACCAAGGCUUUGACGGGUAGCCGGCCUGAGAGGGUGACCGGCCACAUUGGGACUGAGAUACGCACCAGACUCCUACGGGAGGCAGCAGUGGGGAAUAUUGCACAAUGGGCGGAAGCCUGAUGCAGCAACGCCGCGUGCGGGAUGACGGCCUUCGGGUUGUAAACCGCUUUCGCCUGUGACGAAGCGUGAGUGACGGUAAUGGGUAAAGAAGCACCGGCUAACUACGUG